Molecule: ribosomal RNA, 253 nt
Filed under: uncultured bacterium
Lineage: Bacteria
Description: partial 16S ribosomal RNA
Rfam family: Bacterial small subunit ribosomal RNA
Source: RNAcentral
AACGUAGGGGACAAGCGUUAUCCGGAUUUACUGGGCGUAAAGCGCCCGUAGGCGGCUUGAUAAGUUGGACGUGAAAGCUCCCGGCUUAACUGGGAGAGGCCGUUCAAAACUGCCAAGCUAGAGUGAGGAAGAGGAGAGCAGAAUUCCCGGUGUAGUGGUGGAAUGCGUAGAGAUCGGGAGGAAUGCCAGUGGCGAAAGCGGCUCUCUGGUCCUAAACUGACGCUGAGGGGCGAAAGCGUGGGGAGCGAACGGG